AGGACUAACGCUGGCGGCGUGCCUAACACAUGCAAGUCGAACGAGAGUAGCAAUACUCUAGUGGCAGACGGGUGAGUAACACGUGGUCAACCUACCUCUAUGUGGGGGAUAACUAGCCGAAAGGUUAGCUAAUACCGCAUACGAUCGUCGAGCGGCAUCGCUUGACGAUGAAAGGAGCAAUCCGCAGAGAGACGGGACCGCGUCCCAUUAGCUAGUUGGUGGGGUAAUGGCCUACCAAGGCGACGAUGGGUAGCUGGCUUGAGAGAGCGACCAGCCACACUGGGACUGAGACACGGCCCAGACUCCUACGGGAGGCAGCAGUGAGGAAUUUUCCGCAAUGGGCGAAAGCCUGACGGAGCGACGCCGCGUGUGGGAAGAAGGCCUUCGGGUCGUAAACCACUGUCGAAGGGGAGAUAUUGACGGUACCCUUGGAGGAAGCCCCGGCUAACUACGCGCCAGCAGCCGC
RNAcentral lists this ribosomal RNA (466 nucleotides) under uncultured bacterium. Its description in RNAcentral is "SSU rRNA". It matches the Rfam family "Bacterial small subunit ribosomal RNA", at positions 26 to 518 of the family's 1533-position model. The record is from RNAcentral.